GAACUACUGGAGGGUGUUGCUGCCAAUCAGAAAUGCGAGGGUGGGGAGGUAGUGGUGGAACUGAUGGGUGGGGUGAGGCAAAGCAGGAAAGACUCAAAAAUCAGCACCAGCAGGCCACAGGUGCUCCAGUCCUGGACAGCCAGGACUCUGAUCUGAUGCCUCCAGCACCCCAGGAAAAUGGAGCACUUGGCCCUACUGGGAUUUUAAGGCGAGAAUGGGGGCUGGGAGGGGGGUGAUGCUGCGGUGAUGGUGGUGGGGAGCUGGGGUUUCCAUAGCAACAAGCAGCUGCUGCAUCUGAUGUUUCACAUCCUUCAUUGUCCUCAUUUCCCCUCCCUUCCCCCCUUCUUGUGCAUAUUUAAUUGCAGUAACGUUUUCAGACGCAGUGUUUUGCUCCUCCUGAAACAAAGGCAGGCAGCAGCCAGGGGGAUGCACAGCGAGAGAGAGGGGAAGGAGAAAUCAGGGGUAUUAUGUUAAUCCCCUCUGGGGGGGUCUUGAGUAACAUCAGUUCUGUUUGUUUGAUGAGAAUCAGAUGAUGGGCCCUGCUGGGGAAGGGAAGAAGCAAGAGGCCUGUGGAGUGGGCCUCAUCCAGUGUGGAGAGUGGAGGGAGACACCGCAGCUGGUGGGGGUCCAGAUGGGCCAGGGCUGGACAGCGCCAUGGCCUCCAGUCAGGCUCUGGCAGGUGUCCUGGCAGUGCCUGGUUGACAUCAACUGCCUCUGGACCAGGCAGAGGAGCAGCUAGUCCACAUCCUCACUCCCCUUAAUGGGACAGGCUGGGUCCCAGUGGAUCUAACAGAAAGCGGGAGCCAGUUCCCCUGAGGCCAGCCUCCAUCCUGAGGCCAUUUGGAAAUGCAUGUGGGAGGUCAUUUUUGGUGAUACCUUAAUUGGGGGUAUUUAGGAUGCAGGGGGCAGGGUGCUGGGCAUCUUGAGUAACAAAGAACUAUCCCACUCCAAAUGCCAACUGGGUCCCUUCCCUUAGGCUCUAGGACCAGAACACAAAGCUGUGUUUAAAUGUGGACUCUGCCUGUGAUGCUUCUGGAUUGUCACAUGGUAACACCUGUCAUGCUCAUGACCAGGGAAGUACCAUAUGUGGUUCGCAAAAACUUUUCUUCUUUGUAUUAUUAUUACAAAUAUGCUGGUCUGUUUUGUCAUCCUCUUUCCUGAAAAGGAGCAUGAUUCUACUGUUGUUUUUUUUUUUUUUUGUACCAGGGAUCGAACUCAAGACCUUGCGCUAGUGAGGCAGGUGCCGAAACCACUGAUCUAAAUCCCCGGCCCCUGGGAUUCUACUUUUUUAAAAGCUAAAUAUUUACGGAGCAUCUAGUACAUGUUAGACCAAGUACUUUACAUGUAUUAUCUCAUUUAAUUCCCAAAACCACUUAACAUGGGUACCACUAUUAUUUCUUUUUCUUUUUUUUUGGUACCAGGGAUUGAACUCAGGACCUUGUGCUCUCGAGGCAGGCAGCAGAACCACUGAGCUAAAUCCCUGGCCCACCAUUAUUAUUAUUAACUGAAGCACAAAGAAGUUAAUAGUCUACUCAAGGUCACAUGGUUAGUACUUGGUAGAGCUUAGCCCAUUUGUCUACUGCCUGUGCUUUUCCAAAAGUCUGUGCUAGACCGAUGCUCCCAGAAUAGCAGCACCACUCAUAGGGACAUAUAGCCAGCCUCUGUUUGGUUUCUCCGUCAAUGGGAUCCUCACUACUUCUUUAAGGAGGACUCACCAAUUCAAUCAGUUUGGCUGAAUUUAUCAAGUCUUUAUGGAAUGUCUCCAGGGCGUGCAUGGUACCCCACUGAGAAGUCUUGAACUUGGUCUCUGCCCUCUGGAAUUCCACAAUGGAAGACAAUGUCCUUCUACCAUAAAAGCUAUAACCAUCAGUGCUGGGGGCUGGCAAAGUAUGGAGAGGGCACUUGAUGGAAGCCAUAAGUAAGAGGAGGAGUAUAAAGAAGUGCCAAGGUGCCCAUUACGGUAGGGAAAGUCAAGGACAGGGCCUUAGGAGUCAGGGCUAGAGUCUUGGCUUUUCACUUAAUGUUGGGGUUGAAUAACGUCCCCCCAAAUUAAUGUCCACCCAGACUUGUGAAUGUGACCUUAGUGGAAACAGAAAUUUUGCAAAUGCAAUCAAGUUAAGAUGAGGUCAUACUGGGUUUGAUUAGGCUCUAAAUCCAAUGUCUAAUUCUGGGUUCUUCUAAGUGGACAGCAAUUUUGACACUGACAUGCAUGUGUGGAGAGUGACCUGUGAAGAUGGUGGCAGAAGUUGGAGCGACACAUCUAACCGCAGAUAUGCCAAGCAUGCUGGAGACCACAGAAACUGAAGAGACAGAGAAGGCUCUGCCCUUGGAGGCUUCAGCGGGAACACGGCCCUGCUGACACCUCGCUUCUGGACCUCCAUCCUCAAGACCCGGCAGAGAGCUGGGCCUUAGAGACUCCUGUGAGCUGCAGGAGCCGUGAAGAGAUAAUUGAUAGACACCUCAGGGCUCCUGGCAGCCCCAGAGGGGCUGGACGGAGAGGAGAGAAACUGUCUCUGGAGGAGCAGCACAAUGCACAACAGCCACGUUUAGAGGCAACCCUAGGCUCCAUUGGCAGAUGAACAGAUAGCAAAAUGUGGCCUCUCCAUGCAAUGGGAUAUAGCUCAGCCUUUACCAAAGGAGGAAAUUCUGACACAUGUUGCAACACAGAUCAACCUUGAAGACAUUGCUAAGUGAAAUACACCAGAAACAAAAAGACAAUGACUGUAAGAUUCCACUCAUGUGAGGUGUUUGGAGUAAUCCAACUCACAGAAACAGAAAGUAGAACGGUGGCUGCCAGGCACUGGGAAGAAGGAAAAAUGGGAGUUAUUAAUGGAUACAGAGUUUCAGUUUUGUAAAAUGAAACCAAAUUAAAGAUUACUG
This is a non-coding RNA of Heterocephalus glaber (naked mole-rat), 2880 nucleotides long. Lineage: Eukaryota; Metazoa; Chordata; Mammalia; Rodentia; Bathyergidae. The record is from RefSeq and is a predicted model, not a curated record.